Molecule: long non-coding RNA, 202 nt
Organism: Gossypium raimondii (Peruvian cotton)
Lineage: Eukaryota; Viridiplantae; Streptophyta; Magnoliopsida; Malvales; Malvaceae
Exons: 4
Source: RefSeq, a predicted model, not a curated record
UAUCAAGUUGGUUUGUAGAAUUGGUCAUUGGAGCAUAUUGUUCUAAAGAUAAGUAAGCAAUCCCGAUGGCUACAAAUUGGCUUAACAGUGUACUCAGACACAAAAAGCCUGACUCUUCGAAACAAGAAAUGGAAAAACCUGUGGAGGACCAAUCUCGCGAUGAGAAAGGUGCGGACAAAGUUAAGGAUGGAACGAAAGGUAU